GCCAACGUGGCACACUGGUCUGAGUGUUGGACUUCAACUCUGUAGACCAGGGUUCGAUUCCCAGCAUAGCCA
Phrynosoma platyrhinos (Desert horned lizard) is the source of this 72-nucleotide non-coding RNA. Lineage: Eukaryota; Metazoa; Chordata; Lepidosauria; Squamata; Phrynosomatidae. The record is from the annotation of a GenBank genome assembly.